CGGGGCGUGGCUCAGACUGGUAGAGCACCGCGUUCGGGACGCGGGGGUCGGAGGUUCAAAUCCUCUCGCCCCGACCA
RNAcentral lists this transfer RNA (77 nucleotides) under Pseudomonadota bacterium. Its description in RNAcentral is "Proteobacteria bacterium (cold seep metagenome) tRNA-Pro". It matches the Rfam family "tRNA". From Rfam's summary of the family: Transfer RNA (tRNA) molecules are approximately 80 nucleotides in length. Their secondary structure includes four short double-helical elements and three loops (D, anti-codon, and T loops). Lineage: Bacteria; Pseudomonadati; Pseudomonadota. The record is from RNAcentral. RNAcentral also lists the same sequence under 1 other name.